UCUAGAGAUUACUCCUACGGGAGGCAGCAGUGGGGAAUAUUGCACAAUGGGGGAAACCCUGAUGCAGCCAUGCCGCGUGUGUGAAGAAGGCCUUCGGGUUGUAAAGCACUUUCAGUAGGGAGGAAAGGGUGUAGUUUAAUACGCUAUAUCUGUGACGUUACCUACAGAAGAAGGACCGGCUAACUCCGUGCCAGCAGCCGCGGUAAUAAUCGUCGAC
RNAcentral lists this ribosomal RNA (217 nucleotides) under uncultured Shewanella sp. RNAcentral's name for it is "partial 16S ribosomal RNA". It matches the Rfam family "Bacterial small subunit ribosomal RNA", at positions 325 to 532 of the family's 1533-position model. Lineage: Bacteria; Pseudomonadati; Pseudomonadota; Gammaproteobacteria; Alteromonadales; Shewanellaceae. The record is from RNAcentral.